This 207-nucleotide ribosomal RNA is filed under the name uncultured bacterium. RNAcentral's name for it is "partial 16S ribosomal RNA". It matches the Rfam family "Bacterial small subunit ribosomal RNA", at positions 568 to 774 of the family's 1533-position model. The record is from RNAcentral.
CGCGUAGGCGGACUUAUAAGUCGAUUGUGAAAUCCCUGGGCUUAACCCGGGAACUUGCAGUCGAAACUGCAAGUCUUGAGUUCUCGAGAGGAUGGUGGAAUUCCUGGAGUAGUAGUGAAAUACGUAGAUAUCAGGAGGAACACCGGAGGCGAAGGCGGCCAUCUGGCGAGACACUGACGCUAAGGCGCGAAAGCGUGGGUGCAAACA